CACUAAAAAGUGGAAAUAGUGCCACCGCAAAUUUCAUUCUACAAUAAAUAUUAGGUAAUGAAAUACGUACCAAAGGAGUAUAAAAGAAAAAGGGAAAAUGGUUUCAAUUUAAUUGGACCCGAAGGACCAAGAAAGUCAAGGUCGAAUUAAUUGCUCUCUCCAACCUGUUACAGAAAAUCAGUUAGAAUUCCUGGCGCCGGACAUAACGAAUACUGAGGUAUAUGUGAUUCCUGGCAAGAAAUGAGGUAAUUUUCACGAAAAACGUGUGACCACCAAAGUGGCUAUGGAAGGGUAAGGUCUGUGAAAGAAAGAGAUAAAUACAUCAUCGUUCAGAGAUGAGUUGGGAGAUUGCUCACGGGCAGGGUCGCGC
Molecule: long non-coding RNA, 370 nt
Organism: Orussus abietinus
Lineage: Eukaryota; Metazoa; Arthropoda; Insecta; Hymenoptera; Orussidae
Exons: 3
Source: RefSeq, a predicted model, not a curated record